Molecule: ribosomal RNA, 485 nt
Filed under: Aerococcus sp. D06_44
Lineage: Bacteria; Bacillati; Bacillota; Bacilli; Lactobacillales; Aerococcaceae
Description: bacterial SSU rRNA
Rfam family: Bacterial small subunit ribosomal RNA
Source: RNAcentral
ACGGGAGGCAGCAGUAGGGAAUCUUCCGCAAUGGGCGAAAGCCUGACGGAGCAAUGCCGCGUGAGUGAAGAAGGCCUUCGGGUCGUAAAACUCUGUUAUAAGAGAAGAACAAAUUGUAGAGUAACUGCUACAGUCUUGACGGUAUCUUAUCAGAAAGCCACGGCUAACUACGUGCCAGCAGCCGCGGUAAUACGUAGGUGGCAAGCGUUGUCCGGAUUUAUUGGGCGUAAAGGGAGCGCAGGUGGUUUCUUAAGUCUGAUGUGAAAGCCCACGGCUUAACCGUGGAGGGUCAUUGGAAACUGGGAAACUUGAGUACAGAAGAGGAAUGUGGAACUCCAUGUGUAGCGGUGGAAUGCGUAGAUAUAUGGAAGAACACCAGUGGCGAAGGCGACAUUCUGGUCUGUUACUGACACUGAGGCUCGAAAGCGUGGGGAGCAAACAGGAUUAGAUACCCUGGUAGUCCACGCCGUAAACGAUGAGUGCUA